GAUGAACGCUGGCGGCGUGCCUAAUACAUGCAAGUCGAGCGAACGGACGAGAAGCUUGCUUCUCUGAUGUUAGCGGCGGACGGGUGAGUAACACGUGGAUAACCUACCUAUAAGACUGGGAUAACUUCGGGAAACCGUAGCUAAUACCGGAUAAUAUUUUGAACCGCAUGGUUCAAAAGUGAAAGACGGUCUUGCUGUCACUUAUAGAUGGAUCCGCGCUGCAUUAUCUAGUUGGUAAGGUAACGGCUUACCAAGGCAACGAUGCAUAGCCGACCUGAGAGGGGGGAUGGAAAAAAGGGGAAGGAGAAAAGGGAACAAAAACAAAGGGAGGGAGAAGGAGGGAAUCUUCCGAAAAGGGGGAAAGACUGAAGGAGGAAAGGAGGGGUGGGGAAGAAGGGUGUUGGAAAGGUAAAACUUGUUAAUAGGGAAGAAAAAAGGGGGAAAGAAAGUGGCAAAAUUUGAAGGGAACAAAAGAAAAAAGCAAGGCAAAACAAGGU
Molecule: ribosomal RNA, 497 nt
Filed under: uncultured bacterium
Lineage: Bacteria
Description: partial 16S ribosomal RNA
Rfam family: Bacterial small subunit ribosomal RNA (bases 20-374)
Source: RNAcentral